RNAcentral lists this long non-coding RNA (224 nucleotides) under Linum usitatissimum (flax). Its description in RNAcentral is "long non-coding RNA (LUSI_LNC000270)". The record is from RNAcentral. Lineage: Eukaryota; Viridiplantae; Streptophyta; Magnoliopsida; Malpighiales; Linaceae.
GUAUCCCCAAUAUGAUUCUGCCCAGAUGCAUGCUGCUGCACCUCAUUGACAAGAGACUCUCGUUAGUCCCGAUUUCCAUUUCUGUUCGAAACUCCGAUCAAUUGCUCUACCAAACAAAAGGAGCAGCAGCAAGAAAAAAGGAAGAUGGCAGUCUCGGUAUAUCCUCUCCUGCCGGCGAAAAAUUGGGACUUUUCAGAUUCCGACGGUAGGGUUUCGACGUUGGA